This 73-nucleotide transfer RNA is filed under the name Lentisphaera araneosa HTCC2155. It matches the Rfam family "tRNA". From Rfam's summary of the family: Transfer RNA (tRNA) molecules are approximately 80 nucleotides in length. Their secondary structure includes four short double-helical elements and three loops (D, anti-codon, and T loops). Lineage: Bacteria; Pseudomonadati; Lentisphaerota; Lentisphaeria; Lentisphaerales; Lentisphaeraceae. The record is from Rfam by way of RNAcentral.
AGGAGAGUAGCUCAGCUGGUAGAGCAUCGGUCUCCAAAACCGAGGGUCGCAGGUUCGAACCCUGUCUCUCUUG